RNAcentral lists this ribosomal RNA (247 nucleotides) under uncultured bacterium. RNAcentral's name for it is "partial small subunit ribosomal RNA". It matches the Rfam family "Bacterial small subunit ribosomal RNA", at positions 26 to 288 of the family's 1533-position model. The record is from RNAcentral.
AGAAUCAACGCUGGCGGCGUGCCUAACACAUGCAAGUCGAACGAGAAAGUGGAGCAAUCCAUGAGUAAAGUGGCGACCGGGUGAGUAACACGUGACUAACCUACCUUCGAGUGGGGGAUAACCUCGGGAAAACCGAGGCUAAUACCGCAUAACAUCGUGAGAUCAAAGCAGUAAUGCGCUGGAAGAGGGGGUCGCGGCUGAUUAGCUAGUUGGCGGGUAAUGGCCCACAAGGCGAAGAUCGGUAGCC